Molecule: unclassified non-coding RNA, 343 nt
Filed under: soil metagenome
Description: partial contains 5.8S ribosomal RNA, internal transcribed spacer 2, and large subunit ribosomal RNA
Rfam family: 5.8S ribosomal RNA (bases 1-120)
Source: RNAcentral
GAUGAAGAACGCAGCGAAAUGCGAUAAGUAAUGUGAAUUGCAGAAUUCAGUGAAUCAUCGAAUCUUUGAACGCACAUUGCGCCCGCCAGUAUUCUGGCGGGCAUGCCUGUUCGAGCGUCAUUUCCACCAUCAGGCCCCCGGGCCUGUGUUGGGGACCUGCGGCUGCCCGCAGGCCCCGAAAUUCAGUGGCGGUCGCGCCGUAGCAACCGAGCGUAGUAACUAAAACGUCUCGCUCUGGCUCGCUGGGCGCGCUCCGGCCGUAAAACACCCCCCCUUUUCGCAAAGGUUGACCUCGGAUCAGGUAGGAAUACCCGCUGAACUUAAGCAUACAAUAAGCGGAGGA